GUCGAAGUGGCGGAAUGGAAAGCAGACGCGCAAAGUUUACGAUGCUGAAAAACUUUGUGAGAAUGUGACUCGUGCGGGUGAAAGUCCCGCCUUCGACACCA
This 101-nucleotide transfer RNA is filed under the name Acidobacteriota bacterium. RNAcentral's name for it is "tRNA-OTHER". It matches the Rfam family "tRNA". From Rfam's summary of the family: Transfer RNA (tRNA) molecules are approximately 80 nucleotides in length. Their secondary structure includes four short double-helical elements and three loops (D, anti-codon, and T loops). Lineage: Bacteria; Pseudomonadati; Acidobacteriota. The record is from RNAcentral.